GAAAUGAGCAGCCAGGUUUCAGGUGAAAAACGCCAUCCCGUUCCGAGCCUACCGAUUCUUAACCCCAUAACAAGUUUUAACGAAUAUGCAGGCGAGAAGACAACCCAAACUGCACAGUCGUUUUCUGAGAAGUCUACAGGAGCAGCUCCCCAGUGUCAGCACAUGCUCAAGGCAGGGGUAUUUCACAACCAUCCAAUGGCAUCAGAUCAGUGAAGGAGAGAAAAAGACUGAAGCACAAGGUUCAGCAGGUGUCUGCCAGACCCCGCGGUUGCCUUUGAUUUAGCUGCACCGGCGUCUCCACUCUCAGAGGUCUGUCCUGUCAUCCUCUACGAAGCCGAGGUGGGUUUAUGUGGUAACCUGAGCCAGGGCCAUUUCCUGCCCACUGACGACAGCACAUCUGUUAACGCUUGCCGUAGUGACCGCCAAAGCCACAUCAGGACUACGGAGCUGCUGAGCACACACAGAGCAGGAGCUGCCCAAAAGCAAAUGUCCUACAAGUUUCCAAAGUACGAAAAAGGAGCUGUAUUUCCAU
This 532-nucleotide long non-coding RNA is filed under the name Fukomys damarensis (Damara mole-rat). Its description in RNAcentral is "lncRNA (ENSFDAG00000032958.1)". Lineage: Eukaryota; Metazoa; Chordata; Mammalia; Rodentia; Bathyergidae. The record is from RNAcentral.